This is a long non-coding RNA of Xenia sp. Carnegie-2017, 529 nucleotides long. RefSeq lists it as uncharacterized. The transcript has 2 exons. NCBI's taxonomy places the organism in Eukaryota, Metazoa, Cnidaria, Anthozoa, Malacalcyonacea, Xeniidae. The record is from RefSeq and is a predicted model, not a curated record.
UCUAGAUGUUCAAUAAAUCUUAUAAAUGAUUAUUACAUACUCUACGACAUGAAGUAUUUCAACUAAUCAACUUCACAUUGUGAAUAUUCGAAAACUUUCUUUUGUCUAAUUAUUCUAUAUAGAAUUUUCACGGAAAAGAAGUAUUCGAAAUUAAAUAAUAUGAGUAAUUUGACAUUUGUCGAUUACUUACAGAGAGGAGUUUCCUUCGCAUUGUUCAGUACAACAAUAUACGCUACGUAUGUGACAGCACUAAACAUUAGGAAACGAAGACAGGCAAGACGUCUUGCUCAUGAUGAGAUUGAUGACUCGAAGCAAGAGGGAGAUGACAGGAAAACAUGAAUAUCGCAGUGAACUACAAAGUCUUUGCUGUCACCCAAAAAAAUUCCAAUCAGACUCGACUAGGAUUACAAAACAACUUAAUUAUACUAUUUCUAUGCACACAAUAUUAUUAGUUAUUGGCAACAGUUGCCAGCUCAUAAUUAUGAUGAUAAGCUUGUGAAUCAAACUGAAAUAUGUUUCAUGUUGUGUA